CGGUAGCUAAUACCGCAUAACGUCGCAAGACCAAAGAGGGGGACCUUCGGGCCUCUUGCCAUCGGAUGUGCCCAGAUGGGAUUAGCUAGUAGGUGGGGUAACGGCUCACCUAGGCGACGAUCCCUAGCUGGUCUGAGAGGAUGACCAGCCACACUGGAACUGAGACACGGUCCAGACUCCUACGGGAGGCAGCAGUGGGGAAUAUUGCACAAUGGGCGCAAGCCUGAUGCAGCCAUGCCGCGUGUAUGAAGAAGGCCUUCGGGUUGUAAAGUACUUUCAGCGGGGAGGAAGGGAGUAAAGUUAAUACCUUUGCUCAUUGACGUUACCCGCAG
This 332-nucleotide ribosomal RNA is filed under the name Shigella sonnei. RNAcentral's name for it is "bacterial SSU rRNA". It matches the Rfam family "Bacterial small subunit ribosomal RNA", at positions 157 to 484 of the family's 1533-position model. Lineage: Bacteria; Pseudomonadati; Pseudomonadota; Gammaproteobacteria; Enterobacterales; Enterobacteriaceae. The record is from RNAcentral.